GGUCCUGUGGCUCAGUGCUGUAGAGCAUCAGCCUGCACACCAGAGGAUCACAGGUUCAAUUCCAGUCAGGGGCA
Non-coding RNA from Myotis lucifugus (little brown bat), 74 nucleotides. NCBI's taxonomy places the organism in Eukaryota, Metazoa, Chordata, Mammalia, Chiroptera, Vespertilionidae. The record is from Rfam.